CAAUAUUUUAAUCAGAAUUUAAUGAGAUACAAAAUAUAUUUUUAAUUUAACUUUUGAGUAAGCUAUGUUAGAAAGGAUGUUCUAGGUUAUUGGGUGGAGAGCAUAGUUUCGCUUUCUUCCAGUUUUAAUUACAGAAUUUUGAAAUUUUAAUAUUUUUGAUAUAAUAUAUUAAAGAUGUUUUGAUAUUAUAGAUAAUUAUACCUACUUUUUAAAUCUAAUUUCCGUUCUCAAAAAAAUUUCUUAACUCAAACUUCAUGAAGAAUAUGUCGUAAACAAAAAGAAUAAAAGGCGAAAUAAAAUUAUUUUUACAGAUGAAAUUUUAAGUUUUCAUCGUACCGUUACUUAUCGAUUUAUUUAUUUACUGAAUUCAUAUUUUAAAAGAGGAAACGUUGACGCCGAGGAAAUUUAAAAAUAAGUACGGAUUAAUGUAUAUUUAAAUGUAAAUUGGCUGUAGGUGUUACGGUGGUGUAGUGUGAUAUAACUAUGAAAAUGUAUCUCCAGCAUGGAGCACGUGGAUGCGAAGAGAAAGCGAAGGAUAUGCUCAAGCAACGAACAUCCCGUCGGGACAUUAUUGAUCGUAAAAUGCCCCAGUUUCCAACAUCGAAUGCGCAAUCUCCAAACGUUUCUUUGGCUUUCUGCCAUUCACAUUUCAAUCUUGGCAGUGGUCAAUGUUUUAUUGUUAACGGAAUACCAAAAUAAAAGGAAAAUAAAUAAUACUUGUGUAUAACGUGACGUUGACUUACGUCAUUUUCUUCUUUCCGUUAGGUGUGAUCACACUUAAAAACGAAAAUUUAAGAAUUUCGAUUUGGUCUCGAUUUUUAACUGGUUCUGAUUAUUAUUAUUAAUGUUACUAUUAUUAUUUUUAUUAUUAAUAUUGGUUUUUUUAACAUCCUCCGCUUCCGUUAUAAUUCUGUAAAACGCUAGGCGAUUGGUCGGUUGAUGCACGCGCCACUAAAACGACCUUGAACGAGGAUAUCUACAACAACCGCUUUAGCGUGUUCCUCUUAUGUGGCAGAGUUCGAGGACAAAAAUAAAUAUAAAAUACUCUUUUUCGCAAGUAGAAAAUUGUUCGCGUUAACCGAUUACAAAAUCUAUAAUCGAUUUAAAGGUUUUUGUAAUUACGUGUUUACUUUAAUCUAGUCUCCCCAAUUUUUUUCCGAUGUGACGAAAUUUUAAACGAAAGUUACGAUUAAUAACGAUAUUUCACGUAUUUUUAUUUUACAUUCUAAAAUUAUAAAUUCGGUUUUCGAAAUAUAAACGUAAGCUGCUCUUGAUGCAAGUUGGACGACCAGACGUUCAAUCGAUAAGAUGGCGUUUACUGCGUGUCCUUGACACACACACAGCUCGGCAAGCUAUGGCUGUUAGCUGGGAGGUGCAUUCUCCUACAUGUUUUUCCUCUUAUUAAUAAAUUACUUUAAUGUUAAUAUAUUAAUAAAUGUUAAAAUAUUCAACAGAUGAUCUUUUUUUUUAAGUAAGUAAAAUUGCUACGAUAAAAAAAUACGUUCUAAAGAUAAGUGAAAAUGUAUUGGAAUUAUAAAAAAAAUGCUAGAAACAGUUAAAUAUUCCAUAUAAAAAAAAAGCCAUCAAAAAUCAGAAUAACAUCGAAAAGCUUCACUUCUACAGAACUGGGGCAGUUAUCACGUGACUAGCUUGCACACGUCUCCAAUGCCGCAUUGAUUCCUGCAGAGAUCACGUGAUUUGAAAACCGGUCUUCCACCCCUACCUGAUCGUAUCCUGACUGACCUUGGCUCAGAGGUCAAGUCUCGUAGUGGAGAUUAUGUGGGUUAAAAAUGUCGAAGCGCUCCUUACUUCGAUUGGAUUUUUAAAAAUUCAUUAAUCGUUCAUUCCCAAAUUACAACUAUACGUACAAUAAAAUGUAUAUACUAUUGGUAUGAUUUAUUAACACUUAUUAUUGAUUGUUAAUGGUUAUUACUGUUCUCAUUUAACUUGAAGAAUUUUUUAUUUAUUUAUUUAUUUCGACAUAGUUGAUGGAAGACAUGUGCCAAUUAGAAUUUUGUCGAAUUUAUUAAUUAUGGGAUUUUAAUUAAAUACUAAUUCUAUAGGGAUAAUAGAAAACCGGUUGGAAUUAUUGCAUGAAAGCGGCACAAUCAAUACGCAUGUACAUUGCCCGAGUUUCAACGUAGCCCAAAAGGUGUCUGCACUCUGUCGUUUCUAGGGCAACCAGUGAAAACACUGAUGGCGUCACGACCUUAUGUUAAGAUUCAUCUCCAGUCGACAAUUGUUAAAAAUGGUAAUGAACUCCAAGUAAUAAAUCAAUAAUAGCUAUAUAUUACUAUUUUAAAAUGGAUCCUAUAAUGAGACGAAUUUGAAUACGAAUAAAUGUUAAUAUUUGAAAUGAUAUGUGUAUGACGUAUUUUUAAGUUAAAUAACACGAUUUCUUUUUUUAUUUGUCCGUCGGACUGAAUCGAAAAUGCCAGUGAGAUUUUGUAGGUCAGACGCAGUUCUAGUCACCUUUAAUGUAUAAUCGACUCAACUUACAUUCCGUGACCGUAUAAAGGUCAAAUUAGAGGACAGACCAGUCGAUUUUCAUCAGAUGGGAGAGACCAAUGAAAAGAAGGGUUGGACCCCAGACAAUCUUUUAAAACGUCCGAUGGGAGCAUGUCCGAUGACUUAACAACUGCUGGAGUUUUUAAUUACUCUUAACCGGAUGCCGUAUGCUGUAAUCAACAUUUAAACAUUAUUUUUUUUUAUCUCUUUCUCUCCUGAUGGUCUUCCUUCGCUUGUUUAAUAAUGAACUCGUCCGGAUAUCACCUAUAUAAUAUCUCUCAAACCCUACUCCCUUUUAAUUCGCAGCUGUUUUAUUUGUGUACAGGACUAUCAUGAUUUUACUUUUAUUUUAUUUUUGUUUUAUGGAAUAGAAAUAUAUUUUACAAUUUAAAAGUUGAAAACUAUUAAGCCUUAAUUGAUUUGGUAAAUAUUUCCGAAGGCGGCUUAGGACAUUGAUCUGAGAAAAGAGAGCCCAUCGCGUGUUUCAUGCAUUUUCUGGCUGAUUUUGCGUGAGCAAUGACAGUUGGAAACAUCUUUUCUGUGUUUGUUCCCAAAACAAGCCGCCAUCUUUAUAACUAUAAUUGUCGAGGCCAAUGUCUGCCUCUUUACUCAUCUUCACUCUUUCUAUAUACCUAACUUUUUAUUUUAAGAAAGUUAAAACCUCGACACUCAGAAUAAAAUACAAGUAAAACUUUAUUUGAAAGUUCCAAAAGAUUGCCC
RNAcentral lists this long non-coding RNA (3228 nucleotides) under Androctonus crassicauda. The record is from RNAcentral. Lineage: Eukaryota; Metazoa; Arthropoda; Arachnida; Scorpiones; Buthidae.